This 480-nucleotide long non-coding RNA is filed under the name Bos taurus (domestic cattle). RNAcentral's name for it is "long non-coding RNA NONBTAT000442". The record is from RNAcentral. Lineage: Eukaryota; Metazoa; Chordata; Mammalia; Artiodactyla; Bovidae.
AGACCAACCAACAUGGUAUUUGUCAUUCUUAAAUUUUACCCUGAUGACUUGAAUAACUGGGUUUUCAACUUGAUUGCUUUUUUUAUACUUUCAUCUUUAUUUUGAGUGUAUAGCCCAGUCAGUGCUCUUGAAGUGUUUGUUAAAUUUACCUCAGAUAAGUAUACAGACCAGUUUUCAGAAUGUUAGGAUGUAAUGAAAUUAACCCAGCUGUGUAAUUGUUUGGAAUCUAGUUGGAUGGUCCCAUAAUGAUGUAGAAUGUGUUUUAGGACUUGGCGGUUCUGUAUGGUCACUUAGAAUGUUAGUGGUUAUAUUGAAAAGUGUAGAGUCGAAAAUGUGCAGUUGAAGAUGGAGUCAUAAUUUCAUUUCUAUUUUAGCAAGUUACUAGUGGUAUCAGGUUGGAGCCUAUUAUAUAUAUUGCCCGUAUCAAUCUUCCUGCUUCUAAGACGUAUAUAAUGGCAAAGUGACCCAAAUUUAAAAGGA